RNAcentral lists this long non-coding RNA (3097 nucleotides) under Marmota monax (woodchuck). The record is from RNAcentral. Lineage: Eukaryota; Metazoa; Chordata; Mammalia; Rodentia; Sciuridae.
ACACUACAUCUCUUAUUAUAUAGAAUAUAUAUCUUUCCAUGUCCUAUUAUCUUUGUUUCUCUAGAGAAUCCUAUUACACCAGCUGUAGAUAUGGAAGUGGAUUGGAGGAUGUGGAUUUACUAUUUAAAAAUUAACCUCAUUUUCCCAGUUAAAAAACUAUCAGGUAUUCUAAUAUCAUCCUUUUAUAGAUGAAGAAACUCAGGCUGAUUUCCCAAGGCCAUUCAGUUGAAGGAAUGUCACUAACUUGUAUCAAUUCUCAGCCCAGUAGUGUCACUGCCUUGCCACUGUGUGUUGGGAUUCUUUUUUCUCAAAUAUCCAUAGGAGCACAACCAGCUUCUGACUCAAAAUGACUAAAUGGCUUUAUUAAGUGUUUGAAGAUAUAAGGUUAAGUAGGCACUCAUAUAAAUAAUAGCUUUAUUAUAUUUUUGUGUCCCCAAACUUUGCCACUUCAUAACUGGGCUGUGAACCCAGUUCACAGUAGCUAAGGAGACCUUAUUCUUUAUAGCUACUAUGCAACAGCUGAACAGUAUCACCCUGGCUCUUGAAAGCCUAUCAAGUAAACUAAACUAGUGAAAUAAUAUUAACUUUAUUUGGAUUAUGAGAAUUAUUUUUGACCAACUGAAUAUUUUGACCAGAAUUAAUGAUAUUUCAAAGUUUAAUUUUCUGAGCUGUCUGCUAUUUUUAUGACCACUGUUAUGAGUUGUAGUGCCCUGUCCUAUCUAUAGUCCAUUAAUAAUGGGACUCUGGAGAAACGUCUGAUAGGUCUUGCUUAAUUCCAUGUACUCUCACAAUUUUCCUCAAGGAUGCACUAGGAACACUGGAAAAUGCAUUAAAAUGUGUUUUCAGAUAUCUGGAAGUUGUUUCUAGCUCAAUGUAUUUCAUUAAAAAGUCCACAAGAUAGGUAAUACAGAGCACAUGCAGUUCAGUCAGUGAACCCACAAUAACAUGACCUGAUGAACAUGCAAAGACUUUUAUGUUCCACAUUUUAGGGCUCUUAAAUUGUGGUGGAUACCAUGAUGCGUAGGCUAGAUUGCCUCUUUAAUGAAGGACUUGUUGGGAGUGCUGUUGGCAUACAGCCAUAGUUGUCAGCCCCUCAAGGUUUGCCUCCACUGUAGAUAGCCAUCUUUCCCAAUACCCUUUCUCAGAAGGCCCUCUUGCUGCAUACUAGGAAAAAUCUGAUAUUGGUCACUUUUAAAUCCAGAGUUCCACGUGGUUUAGGCCAAGUCUGUUUUGGGACUGACCCUGAAGUUUGACUUUUCUUUUCCCCCAUUUCUGCUUCCUGUCAUUUAAUUCCCUGAAUAUUGAUUCUAAGAACACUCCUUGGGAAAGAUAUUUUGUGCGUGUGUGUGUGUGUGUCCACGCACGCGUGCACGCUCACGUGUACGUGUUGCUGAGGAUCAAACCCAGUGCCUUGCACAUGCUUGAAGAGCACUCUACCACUGAGCGACAUCCCCAGCCCACAGGACACUCUUUAAUAAACAUCUUUCACCUGAAACUUUAUAUCAGAGUCCAAUAUCUGGAACUGAGUCUGAUUUUUUUAUGUGGAGCAUAAAUAUUUAUCUUUUUAUUAUUAUUAGUUGAAAUAUUGUCUAAUAAAUGAAAUAACUGCAUGUUGGGCAAGGCAGUACACAGAAAAAUGCAUUUAAAAAUCCCAACCUGUUUUUCAGGAGAAUGGAAAGUAGUGUACACUUUCAACGUGACAACAAAUUCCUACUCCAAUAUUGAUCAGAGUUUCCUCAUCAGCCACGUGCCACCUCAGACCUCAUCUGUAGAAACUGGGACAGUUUGCACUGUGUCUCCUCUAGGCAAUCCUGCUGAGAUACCAUGGCCAGACAGAGCCACAUGACUCUGGGUCUUGCAGAGGAGUCAGAACUCUGGUAAAGAGGUGCUUGCUGAAGUACUGGGUGAGGCUGGAAGGGAAGGAGGGUGGUAGGUUAUCUGACUCAUCUCUUUGUCUUCUGUUUCUCCAGCAAAUUGCAAAUGCCUUGAAGUAGGAACAAUUUCUUAUUCAUCUUUGUAGUUUUAGUGCUUAUCUGUAUCUGGAAAAUAGUAGACAGUUGUCUUAAUGUAAGAUCUUUCAGAUAGAAGCUUUGAGACAAAGACUUGAGAAAAUAGGUUUGAAGGAACAGGAAACAUGGGUACAAAAGUGGAAAAGUGAAAAGAGCAGGGAAGCAGCACAAAAGAAGGGUAUAUUAUCAGGAAAAUUUGGCCAUGUGUGGGCUGGGUUGUCAGAGAUUAAUCCUACACGAAAACUCAUAAUCACAGGAACCUCAGAGCUGUCCUAUCUGCGGUCCAAGGGAAAUGAAAUAUUUAUGUUCCAGCUUUUGAGAUUGGUGAAGGUUGCUUCUUAGAAAUGAUAAGCCCCAGAAUUCACACCUGCUCUGCUAGGAAAAAAACCAUUUCUGGGUUUACAAGAAAGUCCUCAGAUAAAGAGAGGCAGGCAUUUGCAGGUGGCAGUAGAGCCAACACACACUGAUGGGGAUAAGGCCCCAGGAACUCAAUGAUAGCAUCUGCUAUGGUGGCUAAAGAAAUAUUCUUGAAACUCAAUCAACAGCUGAAAAGGAACGUCUGUCUUCAAAAUAUGAAAUUAAUUGUGUAAACAUAUUCAGAAAGUUCCAUCAGGCCCUUGUUCAAGUGACUGCUAACCAAAAUAACUGACAACCAAUUAUUGCAGACUCAAUUUUCUGUCUCCUGGGAGAUGAGACUUCUGGAUAAACUCCAUAUUUAUGAUGACAUAAAAAAAACAAAACAAAACAAAACAAAAAACAAGAGAGAGAAGUUCACUACAAAGAGACUACCACUAAACACAGGCAGGGUUUAGGGGAAGGAUGGACUAUGAGCAACGGAAAGGGAGGGACUAGAAGAUGAAAGGACAAAGAAAAUAGGCACUCUGCCUAUUAAAGACAGGGAUCCCCUUUGCACUAGACAAGGGCCAAGGGGGCAUGUUGGCCAGGAUGCAGGGGAUGGUGGGUGUUUUGGACAGCCACCCUUGAGGGUCAAGGGAUUCUAAAAAGCUUUAAAUGGAAGUAAUUUCUGCAAUUUUGUUCUAGUUUUUUUUUACUGGGGGAGUUGGAUGAUUGCAGCAGGUGUAAGUAAG